RNAcentral lists this unclassified non-coding RNA (236 nucleotides) under plant metagenome. RNAcentral describes it as "partial contains small subunit ribosomal RNA, internal transcribed spacer 1, and 5.8S ribosomal RNA". The record is from RNAcentral.
UCUCCGUAGGUGAACCUGCGGAAGGAUCAUUACCAAAAGAUAAUCUUUCAAAUCGAAAGAUCUUUUCCUUUGUGCUGGCUUUGACCGUAUGUAAUUUUGGGACUUAAACAUGGUAGCUUUUUUGUUACCGGUCCCAAAAACAAUUAUAUCAUCCUUAUGAAGAACUUACUGAAAACUAAACAAUGAUUUUAAUAAUCUGUUUAAAACAACUUUCAACAACGGAUCUCUUGGUUCUC